This 286-nucleotide long non-coding RNA is filed under the name Mus spicilegus (steppe mouse). RNAcentral's name for it is "lncRNA (ENSMSIG00000022243.1)". Lineage: Eukaryota; Metazoa; Chordata; Mammalia; Rodentia; Muridae. The record is from RNAcentral.
CGUCACUGUUGCCAUGGCGAUGCUUUUACCAACUCCCCUCAUCCUCCCCGCCAGCCCGGCACUCCUGGGUGCGGCACGGGACCGGAGGUGCUUUCGACCUCCGAGGCUGCGACCGCGUGUCCUGUAGCAGCAACCACUGCAGAUGGGGCGUUGCAGCUCUCGAGCUGCUGCGGCUGCAGCUGGACUUGGCAGGGGCACCCGAAAGCCAGCAAUUCCCUUAUGGAAAGGUAGAUUCAGGAGAUCUGGGCAGGACUGCGUGUUAGCGUCAGGCUCCCUUAUUUCCUAG